RNAcentral lists this ribosomal RNA (305 nucleotides) under uncultured bacterium. RNAcentral's name for it is "bacterial SSU rRNA". It matches the Rfam family "Bacterial small subunit ribosomal RNA", at positions 337 to 641 of the family's 1533-position model. The record is from RNAcentral.
UCCUACGGGACGCAGCAGUGGGGGAUAUUGCACAAUGGGGGCAACCCUGAUGCAGCGACGCCGCGUGAGCGAUGGAGUACUUCGGUAUGUAAACCUCUUUUGUCAGGGAGCAAAGUCACCCACGUGUGGGUGUUGGAGAGUACCUGAAGAAAAAGCAUCGGCUAACUCCGUGCCAGCAGCCGCGGUAAUACGGAGGAUGCGAGCGUUAUCCGGAUUUAUUGGGUUUAAAGGGUGCGUAGGCGGGUUAUCAAGUCAGCGGUAAAAUCGUGGAGCUCACCUCCAUCCAGCCGUUGAAACUGAUGAUU